GACGAACGCUGGCGGCGUGCCUAAUACAUGCAAGUAGAACGCUGAAGGAAGGAGCUUGCUCUUUCCGGAUGAGUUGCGAACGGGUGAGUAACGCGUAGGUAACCUGCCUGGUAGCGGGGGAUAACUAUUGGAAACGAUAGCUAAUACCGCAUAACAGUAGAUGUUGCAUGAUAUCUACUUAAAAGGUGCAAUUGCACCACUACCAGAUGGACCUGCGUUGUAUUAGCUAGUUGGUGAGGUAACGGCUCACCAAGGCGACGAUACAUAGCCGACCUGAGAGGGUGAUCGGCCACACUGGGACUGAGACACGGCCCAGACGCCUACGGGAGGCAGCAGGAGGGAAUCUUCGGCAAUAGGCGGAAGGCUGAACGAGCAACGCCGCGUGAGUGAAGAAGGGUUUCGGGUCGUAAAGCUCUGUUGUAAGAGAAGAACGAGUGUGAGAGUGGAAAGUUCACACUGUGACGGUAUCUUACCAGAAAGGGACGGCUAACUACGUG
This 497-nucleotide ribosomal RNA is filed under the name uncultured bacterium. RNAcentral describes it as "partial 16S ribosomal RNA". It matches the Rfam family "Bacterial small subunit ribosomal RNA", at positions 28 to 507 of the family's 1533-position model. The record is from RNAcentral.